This 401-nucleotide ribosomal RNA is filed under the name uncultured bacterium. Its description in RNAcentral is "bacterial SSU rRNA". It matches the Rfam family "Bacterial small subunit ribosomal RNA", at positions 356 to 773 of the family's 1533-position model. The record is from RNAcentral.
GGGGAAUAUUGCGCAAUGGGGGAAACCCUGACGCAGCAACGCCGCGUGAGUGAAGAAGGCCUUCGGGUCGUAAAGCUCUGUCUUCAGGGACGAGAGAAGACGGUACCUGAGGAGGAAGCCACGGCUAACUACGUGCCAGCAGCCGCGGUAAUACGUAGGUGGCGAGCGUUGUCCGGAAUUACUGGGCGUAAAGGGUGCGUAGGCGGGUUUUUAAGUCAGAUGUGAAACCCCCGGGCUUAACCUGGGGAUUGCAUUUGAAACUGGGAGCCUAGAGUGCAGGAGAGGGAAGCGGAAUUCCUGGUGUAGCGGUGAAAUGCGUAGAUAUUAGGAAGAACACCAGUGGCGAAGGCGGCUUUCUGGACUGUAACUGACGCUGAGGCACGAAAGCGUGGGGAGCAAAC